CGCUGGCGGCGUGCUUAACACAUGCAAGUCGAACGCUGAAGCUUGGGUGCUUGCAUCUGGGUGGAUGAGUGGCGAACGGGUGAGUAAUACGUGAGUAACCUGCCCUUGACUCUGGGAUAAGCCUGGGAAACUGGGUCUAAUACUGGAUACUACAUUCUCUCGCAUGGGGGUGUGUGGAAAGGGUUUUACUGGUUUUGGAUGGGCUCACGGCCUAUCAGCUUGUUGGUGGGGGUAAUGGCCUACCAAGGCGACGACGGGUAGCCGGCCUGAGAGGGUGACCGGCCACACUGGGACUGAGACACGGCCCAGACUCCUACGGGAGGCAGCAGUGGGGAAUAUUGCACAAUGGGCGAAAGCCUGAUGCAAGCGACGCCGCGUGAGGGAUGACGGCCUUCGGGUUGUAAACCUCUUUCAGCACGGAAGAAGCGAAAGUCGACGGUACCGUGCAGAAGUAAGCGCCGGCUACUACGUGCCAGCCGCCGC
RNAcentral lists this ribosomal RNA (483 nucleotides) under uncultured bacterium. RNAcentral's name for it is "bacterial SSU rRNA". It matches the Rfam family "Bacterial small subunit ribosomal RNA", at positions 34 to 518 of the family's 1533-position model. The record is from RNAcentral.